GUUACUUUAAAUAUUAUUUAUAAUGGUAUAAGUGGGUAAUUUUUAUAAAGAUUAGGGGGUUACUUUAGUUUAUUUAUAUAAUGGCAGAGGUGGGUAAUUUAGAUAUAGAUUUUGGGGGUUAGUUUAGACUAUUUUCAUAAUGGCAUAGGUGGCUAAUUUUUUAGAAAAUAUAAUAGAUCCAAUGGCUACGAUGAUUUGAGCCUAGCGAUUGAUGGCCAGAUGUUUUGCUUUUUUGUGAGAAUUUCUAGGAAUUCUCUCUUUUUCUAUAGUGUCUACCUAGGUGGCUUCACUUGGAGGCUUCAAAAGGAGCCUCCAAUCAGUAAUAGUAAGAUAGAGAUAGAUUAACCAGAAAUUUCUCU
RNAcentral lists this long non-coding RNA (359 nucleotides) under Setaria viridis. RNAcentral describes it as "long non-coding RNA (SVIR_LNC011133)". The record is from RNAcentral. Lineage: Eukaryota; Viridiplantae; Streptophyta; Magnoliopsida; Poales; Poaceae.